Molecule: transfer RNA, 76 nt
Filed under: Sphaerodactylus townsendi
Lineage: Eukaryota; Metazoa; Chordata; Lepidosauria; Squamata; Sphaerodactylidae
Description: tRNA-Ala
Source: RNAcentral
GGGGCAGGACUGUAGCUCAGUGGUAGAAUAUCUGCUUGGCUUGUGGAAGGUCCUGGUUCAGUCCCCGGCAUCUCCA